This is a long non-coding RNA of Neofelis nebulosa (Clouded leopard), 8925 nucleotides long. RefSeq lists it as uncharacterized. The record is from RefSeq and is a predicted model, not a curated record. The transcript has 2 exons. NCBI's taxonomy places the organism in Eukaryota, Metazoa, Chordata, Mammalia, Carnivora, Felidae.
AUUACCUGAGGCUGGGCGGGGGUGUUGGGGGAAUAACGUAAGGAACCGUUUAAAAACCAUCCAAAAUGAGUAUAACACACCUCUGAAAAUCGCAAUGUGAUUUCAAGAGUAUUUGUGUUGCAUAAAGGAAGUGAUAUCAGUUCUGAGCUCCAGUUUUCCUAUCUGGCAAAGGCUUUAUCUUGCUGAGAUAUCAUCUGCUGUGGUGAACGGUCCACAGCUGGCUGAGCUCCAACAGUAGCCAGAUUCCAUUGUAAAAGAACACAAAACAACCAGAAGUGUGGAAGCACCUCUGACUUUUUGAAUAUUUCACCAGUUAAGUUGUUCUCCUUUAGUUCUUAAGGGCACAGACUGGAAAUUGCCCCCUACUUGCUGUGUGUUCUUGAGCAAGUCACUUACCUUCUCUGUACCUCACUCACUUCCUCAUCUGACCACACGAGACCUAAAAAUAGUGCCUCUCUCAUAGAGUUAUUAUAAAGAACAUGUAAGUUAAUAGUUGUGAAUUGCUUGAAACACUGCAAGUGUUUAUAAAAUGAAUAAAACCAGUGGAUAUUCGUUUGCUAGACUUGCCACAACAAAGUACCACAGAGCGGGUGGCUUAAACAACAGGAGUUUAUUGUCUUACAGUUCUAGAGGCUAGAAAUCCAAAAUCAGGGCGUCGGCAAGAUUGAGUCCCUCUGAGGGCCGUGGAAACAAUCUGUUCCAGCCUCUGUCCUUGGUGGUGAAUGGCCGUCUUCUACCUGUGUCCCUUCACAUCAUCUUUCCUCUGUGUGUCUCCAAAUUUCCCCUUUUGAUAAGGACACAAGUCAUAUUGGAUGGGGGCCCAUUCUAAUGACCUCAUUUUAACUUGGGUCCCUUUGUAAAGAUCAUAUCUCCAGAUAAGGUCACAUUCUGGGAAGAGAGGGUUAGGACUCUACAACAUAGGAAUUCAAUCCGUAACACAGUAUUUGUUACAAAAAUUACCCCCUCCAGGAGAAGACUUUUCUGUGGGUUGGUUUCCCCUGAAUAUCAGCUACCCCCUACCCUCCCCCCCCCCCGCCCCGCGCUAGUGGAAGAUGCUGACCUCUGACCAGCAGGGAUAGAGCCUCUCCCUGAGCACUUGAAGGGUAGGAGGUCCCCAGAAGGGAGGACUGUGGAGGCCUAGUAUUCCACACUCAGUCUGUCUGAAGAAAACACACUCCCCACUCCAUCCUCUCUCUGGGUCAUUAUGCAAAAGUGUAGCAUCUCAGUGGUGUAACAGAAUUUAUAGUCACGAUAUUGGUUUUCAAUCUGCCUAGUUCCUGGGAAUGUCCAACAUGGGGAAUAAGAAUUGGAUUGCUCGUUUGUUCACUCAACAGAUAUUUACUGACCACCAACCCUGCACCAGGCAUGAUGCGGGGGGACACAGUAGUAAAUAUAACAGCCAUGGCUCCUGCCUUCGUGGGUCAUGCAGGCCCUGAAAAAUGGGCCAUCCGGUGGCCAGCGUGAUGGGACAUGUUUUAUUUGCCCUUCCUCAGGUUUUCAAUGAACUUGAAUUCUUUGCCAACGUUGGGAAACUGGGAAAUCGAGAUAUCAAAUCUGGGAUUCCUAGCUCCUCUUGAAAAAGGCAGAGAGGGGAAGGUCUCCAUCCCUGCCCCUAUUUUCCUACAUGACACUCGUCAGUAGGAUCGCCUGCUUUUAGUGGGGCAGGUACGGGUCUCUAGGGUAGAGCCCAGUUGCCACUGCUUCGUCUCAAACUGCACAAGGACAGCCUUGUACUUUUAUGCUCCCUCGCCCCUGUGCACAUUUUAAUUUUUAAACCCCAGUCUAGUAGAUGAUCAAUACAACAUUAAACACAGAGAAGUGUCUCUUCACACAGAGAUGCCAAGACGGCAACAUAUCCACUAAUUUUUCCCGGAGAAAGCUUGAUCUAGAGUUAGCAACUGAUUAACACCGCCAUGCUGUUAAAGUCCCCUUGGAAUGAGCAAACUCCUGUCGCACAAAUAAGGAUUUCCUCAGCUGACCCAUUCCCAGAAGGGUGAUAUCAUAUCCUGUCAGAUACAGUUGGGCAAACAUGUCCUGCCCCCAUCUCCUAGAGGUCACUUUUGUUUCCAGGGGAACCUAAUAGUAGGGGGUAGGGCACAGACCAAAGGAAGGCAAUUCUGGAUAACCCAUCCCAGCUCUGGGUCCUUUUUCCAGACCAAAGGAAGGUACCGUGAAAGGCUGAACUAUUCCAGAGAUUGUUCUGACAUAUGGGACCAGCCUGGUCCUUUUGAGGAGAUCUGGUCAACAGCAUGAGUUCUGUGUCAGUAAGGUCAGUUUAUAUACCCACCCAGCUAAGGAGUGAUUGCCAGAAGGUGAUCGCUGAACUUGACCUCAUGUAGCAUUCAUCCCAUAUGGCUAUUCAAGACUUCUCCUCUGUCAUUACAAGGUUCUCCUGCUUGAGAAACAAAGGUGAGUAAGUGGAUAAUGCCAACAUAAUUUCUUCAGUGGAGAGCAAAUUUUUCUUCAUUCUUUUAGAAGGAAUAAGGUAGCAAAUAAUUCAUAGAAAGCAAAGCACAAUGUAUAAUAUAUCAUAGGUGCUCCAAAGAUAUUUGAUGAAUUCAUUUAUUAAUGAAAAGCCUGCUCUUUUUUCUUGAUGAUAAAGAGCUCUCUACUAAGUUCUGGGUUCAUCUUUUGGACCGUCUGCUAAGUUGCCCACUUGGACGUUCCCAGGCACUUCAAACUUAGCCUAAAAUUUAAUAAAUUUAUUCUCUUUAAAAGAAAAAAUAGAGAAAAACUACUUCAACUCUAGAAAAUAGUUGAUCGCUAGAAGAGUCACCUAAGUGAGUCAUUAAAAAGUAGUCCUCGUUGGGGCACCUGGGUGACUCAGUGGGUUGAAUGUCCUACUUUGGCUCAAAUGAUGAUCCCACAGCACACGAGUUCGAGCCCUGCAUCCGUUUCUGCUCUGACAGCCCGGAGCCUCCCUCGGGUUCUGCAUUUCCCUCUCCUCACGCUCCCGUGUUCAGUCUGUGUCCACGUCUGGUCACUCCUACCUCCCAAGCCUGGCUGGACCUCUUCCAUUCCUCAGCUACCAUCACUUCCCUCUGUUUACGACACGAAGUAUGGCAGCCACUGGAGUAAAAGGUUGGAGGAGGGGUGGAGGGGAUCUCAAGUUCAGUAUGAGGCAGUGGGGCAAUGUGGGCUGCCGGAUGACACGAUUCCAGGCUGCAUGGACAGGAGGAGAUCGUAGCAUCGCUCUGCAGAACCCCGAUGAGGCUGUGUCUGAAGCAUGGUAUUCAGGCAGACAGUGAUCAACCAGAUUGUGCCCAGGAAAGGGUGGCCAGAAGGGUAGAGAGAGAGCAUUGAAGGGGCAGUGGGGAGGUGUCAGAGUCAGCCCCACGCGUCUGCUUUGUGUCCCUCAGAGAGGAUGAAUGACCCCUUGAUGAUUUCACACAGUGCUACGGGGAUGUGCCCUGCAACCCAGAAGUCCCUAGCCUCUUUACUAAGUUUAUCACCAGCCAGACGAGGGGUCCAGACAGGCUAUGCUUUGCUGUCCCAUCGCUCCCAGUGCCGUGGUUACGGCCAUGUGCUCCUGCAACAGCCCCCACACCCUCUCUUGGCAGAAUUCCACUCUCUGCUGCCUGUAUCCUUUCCAAACCUUCUUUCUUGCAUCUGCUUAAUUUUGUGCAGAGCGCAGGUCUUUCUCCAUGAGCUGUUAUCUCUUGCCCUCACCAGCACCAGCAGGGGCAAUGGAGCGACUGCUUUGCAAUAGUCUGUCUAAUGACACAGUUGAUCUAUUUUAAGCACCUGAAGCACACCCCACUGCUGCCAAUCUUCCCUCAGCAAGCUGCUCUCAGCAUGCUGGAGCAGAGGCAGCCUGAGGUCUGUUCCUGCUUUUUGAGAUCUGGGGAAACAGCCCAGGGAUCCGGACCCUGCCCGUCCAAAGACGAUCUAAGGCAACCGUAAAAUUAGAUAUUUUUACGGUCAGCAUGAGUUAUUCUGGAAGCAGAAAUGCCUGUGAUGCUAGGAUUAUAUGGGGCAGGAACCUCAAGUGAACAAAAAUCCAUCUUUCGAGGGACAGACACAGAGCCUGUGCCCUUCGCAUGUAGAGAGGAGAGACCUGGGAGGCAGCAUUUCAGGAACAAAGAGAAGCCCAACCCCCAUCAGAGAUCUCUUAGGCCCCCACCAUGUUUUUCUCCUCCUCCUAAUCAAGAGACAUUCUUUUCCAACUAGAGGCUGAGUGCAAAUGUUUUACGUAUACGAGUUAUUUAAUCCUUGCAACAAUCCUACAUGGGUCUUCUCUGUAUGGUAAACCUAAGACACUCCCUGUGUUAUGUUGGCUCUCACCAUCCUUCACAGAACUCACCGCAGUCCGUAACAGUUUCAUCCAUUCACAUGUGUACUUUGUUUCUGUCUCUUACUGUCUUUGGACUGUAAACCACAUGAUGACUAGGUGACAGGCCUGCCUGUUUUGUUCACUUGCCGGGUCCUCCAGACUCAUCCCAGUGCUUGACCCAGAGUGACGAUAGCUAACGUGAGCAUUUACUGUGGACCAGGCACUGUGCUAACUAAACUCUUCACGGACAGAAACUCACUUUACAACUUUGAUUGAAAGUUGUAGGAGGGGCGCCUGAGUGGCUCAGUCGGUUAAGCGUCCGACUUCGGCUCAGGUCAUGAUCUCGCGGUUCGUGGGUUCGAGCCCCGCAUUGGGCUCUGUGCUGACAGCUCAGAGCCUGGAACCUGCUUCAGAUUCUGUGUCUCCCUCUCUCUCUGCCCCUCCCCCACUUGCACUCUGUCUCUCCCUGUCUCAAAAAUGAAUAAACAUUUAAAAAAUUUUUUUAAAAAAAAGAAGAAAGUUUAGGGAAAUAGGUAGUAAUAGUACCCUCAUUUUCCAGAGGAGGGAAUUAGAGCCCAAGGACCGAGUCAUUGGCCUCAAAUCUCACAUUUAAUAAACAAUGAUGAAAAAAUGCUCAACAUCACUAAUCAUUAGGGAAAUGCAAACCAAAACCACAAUGAGAGGACGCCUGGGUGGCUCAGUCGGCUAGGCAUCCGACUUCGACUCAGGUCAUGAUCUCAGGGUCUGUGGGUUCGAGCCCUGCAUCAGGUUCUGUGCUGACAGCUCAGAGCCUGGAGCCUGUUUCAGAUUCUGUGUCUCCCUCUCUCUCUGCCCCUCCCCAAUGUGCACACACACUCUCUCUCUCAAAAAUAAACAUUUAAAAUUUUUUUUAAAAACACACAAUGAGAGAACACCUCACACCCGUCAGAAUGGCUUGUAUCAAAAAGACAAGGAAUAGCAAGUGUUGGUGAGGAUGUGGAGGAACAAGAACCCUUGUGCACCGGUGGUGGGAAAGUGGAUUGGUGCAGCCACUGUGGAAAACAGGGUGGAGGUUUCUCAGAAAUUAAAAAUAGAAUUACCAUUUGAUCCAGUAAUUCCACUUCUGGGUAUUUACCCAACGAAAAUGAAAACACUAAUUUGAAAAGAUACAUGCACCCCUGUGUUUAUGGCAGCGUUAUUUACAAUGGCCAAGAUAUGGAAGCAGCCUAAGUGUCCACUGUUAGAUGAGUUGAUAAAAAAGGUGUGAGAUAUAUACAUCCACAAUGGAAUAUUACUCAACCUCAAAAAAGAACGUGAUUUUGUCAUUUGCAACAGCAUAGAUGGACCUAGAAGGUAUCAUGCUAAGUGAAGUAAGUAAGACAGAGAAAGACAAAUACUAUAUGAUUUCACUCCUAGGUGGAAUCUAAAAAAAAAAAAAAAAACAGAAACAAGCAUUAAAAAAGCAGAAACAGUCGCAUAAAUACAAAGAAUAUACAGGUGGUUGACAGAGGGAACGGGAAGCGGGUAGGGGCAAAAUGAGUGAAGGGGAGUGGGAGACACAGGCUUCCAGUUACGGAAUGAGUAAGUCACAGGAAUGAAAGGCACAGCAGGGGCAAUAUAGUCAGUGAUAUUGUGAUAGCAUUAGCUACACUUGGGGUGAGCAUAGCAUAAUCUAUAGAGAGUUGAAUCACUAUGUUGUACAGCUGAAACCGAUAUGACAUUGUGUGUUGACUCUAAUAAGAAAAUAAUCAUAAGUAAUGAAACCUUGAGCAAAUAUGCAAAUGGAUGAAUUGAACAAGGAAUAUUUAAUUCUCCCCUUUUUCAUGAAAGGGAAAUGAGGUUCAACGUGAAGACACCUGGCCACCCUCACGUGAGCUAGGAGGUAUAGGGCAGGUGUCUAGAACCAUGUCCAUCUGACCCUGAUCUCCUUUCCCUCCUUCCUGCUUCCUCCUUUUCACCAUCUUUCCCCAUUUUACACUAACGAGCAUCACAGGGGGAAGGUGUGGGUUGGGGUCGCUGAUCCUACAGUCAGUUUCCUGUUAGAUGCCCAGCCCUGCUGUCCCAUUCACUGGGGCAAUGACACAAAUCCCUGCUCUGGGUAGAGCAGCAUGCCAGGCCUUGUGGUGUGAGAGAUGCACAGGACAGAGAGCAUGAUCUCGGAUCGCUUCCUUCCAGUGUCACCGUAGGGUGGACACAAGUAUGUGACUGAAAUACUAGAGAAGCCAUCAUGGGUGUUGAGGGAGAAGGAAAGAGUGAAGAAGACAGGCCAGAUUCCUUUGGAAGACUUGGGACAUCCUUUGUCGAGAAGACCUUGGGAAGUGAAUACACUUCUGUUGGGUAGAGUAUAAGGGAAAGUUGGGGCAUUCCAGAUGGGCUUCCGCAAUCCUUCUCCAGCAUGAAUUCCACAGUCCGUGUUGCACAAUGUCUGUGUCCUGGGCCCUUGGCUGGGGUGGGGACGAAAUAAAUAGAUGCAGAGUGUUCCAGGAAAUGUCAGGAAAGUCCAGUUGGUCUGUACUCUGUAGAGUAUGACUAGGUGGCCAGAGAGGAAAUAACCCUGGGCAGUUGGUGAGGAUCAGAUUUUUGCGAGUUUUAAAUGCCAGUCUAGAGGGUGUUUGUUACAGUCUAUGGCCAAUGAGGAGCUGUGGGAGGUUCUGAGCCAAGCAGUGACCUGACCAGAGCUGUGCAUUAUUUAGAACUAUCCCCUCGGCAACACAUACCUGAUGGACAGGAGAGCCCACGGGCAGUGAGAGGUAGGCUAAGCUCAGUGGUGCCGCUAUUUACCAGAAUGAAAGUGGAGAGCGACUUAACCCCCGAGCCAGAGUUGGCUGACCCCGAUGCUACAUAAUCUCCACCAUCUCCACCGUCUCUUCCAGCGUUGACAUUACACUACAACAGUGACACCGAAAUGCCUAGUCCUUAGCUCGUCGUUGUAACUACAAGGGGAAUUUACUUCUAAUAUGAUACACAAGAUGCACUGGAAAGAUUGACACAGAAAGGCCUCUACAAAGUUGUCUCCAGUCUUUGUGCCGUCGUCAUCUUCAGCACACCCCAUAAUUCACACUCUCCCCAAGGGACCACUUAAUGCCAGGCUGCCCAGGCUGCCCUGGGAUCUGUUCAGUAGCCGGCUCUUGGGCUAUAGAGAACGAUACUGGGAAAAGACACACAGGGUGGUACUCCACACCCCUGCUUCCUGUCCAGAAUGGAGUCUCCUCCUGCUUUGCUCCCCGUUCACGUUUCCUACUCAAUGCCCCCAUUACCUUGUAAGGAAAUACCAUAGCCAGGUGUCUGUUCAGUUACCAUCCCUCCCUCUGAUUCUUUCCCACCAAUUCCAUGCUGGGGCAUGUAAUGGCUGUCAGCUGUAGUGUUCUGCGGCUCCCCCAGGUGACGACAUGUGACCUAGACUGGCCAAUCAGAGUUUCCCAUCUACCUUGGCCGCAAAGAUUGCUCAUCAGUGGACAUUAGACCCAAGAAAAGCCAACCAGGGUAUUCCUUGAAGUUGAGCAGGGAGCCAUUGGGAAGGAGAAAUAUUCAUUUCGUUGAGGUUGCUGAGCUGAGGAGAUUCUGGGAGGGCCCAGGGAUUCCAGUGGCCAUUCUUAUCCAGUAUGUAGGAGGAAGAAGCUGUCUGAAAAAUAAAGAAAGUCAUAGCUCUGACCAUACAGUAAGGCCCCCGGAUCUAGCCAGACCUGAAGUCAGAGGCUACCUACCACUCCCCAGCCCCCAGACCUCCCAGUUGCAAGGACCAACAAAUUCACUUCUUGCUUAAACUACACUUCAGUGGGGUUUCUGUAAAUUACAACAGAAAGGAUCCUAACUAGGGCACUUCUUUUUUAACCAUUCUUCCCUUUGGCAACUAUCUCCUAUAAUUAUUCCCAUUUAUCAAAAUCCUAGGCAUCUGUAAGCUAAAAGACUCUUCCAGUCCAGCCUCCUCUCAUCCACCCCUGAAGUGAUUUCAUUCCUUCUUCUCAAGUCCCUGGCCCUUGAUUUAAAACAUUCUUAUGGUCACAGGUCAUUUGCUGGAGGUCAACGUGGUUUCCUCAUGCGCAUUUCCUAGCACUCUUCUUAGCGUAUAAGCUCCUUGAGGAGAGGAGCCAUAAGUCAGAUGUCCAUAGGGUAGAUUUCCUCCCCAACUUCAUGCUACAGACCAGGAGGGAGCCGGAGGGUUACUGCUGGAGCUUAUAAAUCCAUGCGUGCGCUAAGCCUCAAAUGCAUAAUAUUCUGUCAAAUCCACGUGCUGGAGAAAAUUCAGUAUGGCCAAAAGCUACCAUGACUAUUACUUAAACGUAAUACUAAUAUAGAGAGGCUAGCAAAUACUUGGGGCAUUCAAAACAAGUCCUCAAGUGAUCUGAAUGUUAUUACAUGGAUGUACACGUAUGUGGAAACCUUUUGAGUUUUACACUUAAGAUGUGCGCACUUUAGGCAAGUUAUGCCGCCAUUCAAAGUCAAAACUAAAAUAAAAAUACAGGAGUCCUCAUAGUUGACAAAUAUGUCCAUCACUAGUCAAUACACAAAAAAUUAAUUUGAAAUGCAUCAGAGACCUAAAUAAACUGAAAGCUAAAACUAUACAGGUCCUAGAAGAAAAUAUAAGAGAAUAGCUUUUGCCCCUGAGGUAGGCAAUGACUCCUUAGAACCCUAAAAGCAGCAAAAAAAAAAAAAAAAAAAAAAAAGGCAAGAAA